GACGAACGCUGGCGGCGUGCUUAACACAUGCAAGUCGAACGGAAAGGCCCUGCUUUUGUGGGGUGCUCGAGGGGCGAACGGGUGAGUCACACGUGAGUAACCUGCCCUUGACUUUGGGAUAACUUCAGGAAACUGGGGCUAAUACCGGAUAGGAGCUCCUGCUGCAUGGGGGGGGGUGGAAAGUUUCGGCUGUGGGGGAUGGACUCGCGGCGUAUCAGCUUGUUGGUGGGGUAGUGGCUUACCAAGGCUUUGACGGGUAGCCGGCCUGAGAGGGUGACCGGCCACAUUGGGACUGAGAUACGGCCCAGACUCCUACGGGAGGCAGCAGUGGGGAAUAUUGCACAAUGGGCGGAAGCCUGAUGCAGCAACGCCGCGUGCGGGAUGACGGCCUUCGGGUUGUAAACCGCUUUCGCCUGUGGCGAAGCGUGAGUGACGGUACUGGGUAAAGAAGCACCGGCUAACUACGUG
Molecule: ribosomal RNA, 468 nt
Filed under: uncultured bacterium
Lineage: Bacteria
Description: partial 16S ribosomal RNA
Rfam family: Bacterial small subunit ribosomal RNA
Source: RNAcentral